This 595-nucleotide ribosomal RNA is filed under the name Bacillus safensis. Its description in RNAcentral is "bacterial SSU rRNA". It matches the Rfam family "Bacterial small subunit ribosomal RNA", at positions 754 to 1349 of the family's 1533-position model. The record is from RNAcentral. Lineage: Bacteria; Bacillati; Bacillota; Bacilli; Caryophanales; Bacillaceae.
CGAAAGCGUGGGGAGCGAACAGGAUUAGAUACCCUGGUAGUCCACGCCGUAAACGAUGAGUGCUAAGUGUUAGGGGGUUUCCGCCCCUUAGUGCUGCAGCUAACGCAUUAAGCACUCCGCCUGGGGAGUACGGUCGCAAGACUGAAACUCAAAGGAAUUGACGGGGGCCCGCACAAGCGGUGGAGCAUGUGGUUUAAUUCGAAGCAACGCGAAGAACCUUACCAGGUCUUGACAUCCUCUGACAACCCUAGAGAUAGGGCUUUCCCUUCGGGGACAGAGUGACAGGUGGUGCAUGGUUGUCGUCAGCUCGUGUCGUGAGAUGUUGGGUUAAGUCCCGCAACGAGCGCAACCCUUGAUCUUAGUUGCCAGCAUUCAGUUGGGCACUCUAAGGUGACUGCCGGUGACAAACCGGAGGAAGGUGGGGAUGACGUCAAAUCAUCAUGCCCCUUAUGACCUGGGCUACACACGUGCUACAAUGGACAGAACAAAGGGCUGCAAGACCGCAAGGUUUAGCCAAUCCCAUAAAUCUGUUCUCAGUUCGGAUCGCAGUCUGCAACUCGACUGCGUGAAGCUGGAAUCGCUAGUAAUCGCGGAU